CUGAAUGGGUGAAUACAGAAGAAAAACUGGAGUAUGGUAGGGGCAGAGGGAAUUUUUGGUUGAGUGUUGAAAUGCGUAAAGAUGAGAAAGAACACCAAUGGCAAAACACUUUGUUGGGCCAACACUGAGAGACACAAGUUAGUGGAGCGAAUGGGAUUAGAUACUCUAGUAGUCCUAAAUGUAAAUGAUGGAUACUAGGCGUUGUAUGUAUCGACUCAUGCAGUAUUCUAGCAAAACCUGAGGUAUUCUG
This is a ribosomal RNA of Nicotiana attenuata, 250 nucleotides long. It matches the Rfam family "Bacterial small subunit ribosomal RNA", at positions 559 to 871 of the family's 1533-position model. NCBI's taxonomy places the organism in Eukaryota, Viridiplantae, Streptophyta, Magnoliopsida, Solanales, Solanaceae. The record is from Rfam.